Molecule: long non-coding RNA, 1053 nt
Filed under: Brassica napus (rape)
Lineage: Eukaryota; Viridiplantae; Streptophyta; Magnoliopsida; Brassicales; Brassicaceae
Description: long non-coding RNA (BNAP_LNC010558)
Source: RNAcentral
UCCAUGUCACCGUCAUAAAGUCAUGCUCUCUGGUGUCGACACAUGUCCAUAAACUAAAACACAACUUCUCAUUAAUGUUCUUUUUCUAAAUAAAAUAUUUCAUUAAUAUUUUCCCUUUGAAAAUGAAACAUCAGAACAAAGACGUUUCCUGUAAAUCGGAGAAACUUUAGAUCCUAGGUUACAAGGAGAAGCUUAACAAAAUCUAACAACAAUGAACAACUCAGAACAAAGAGAGAACAAAUUGGGGGAGGAAAAGAAGACAAAAGGGCACUACUACCCGCUCCGAUUGAACACUAGUAGAAUCCAAAUCCGCAACCGCCGUAGCCGGGUGUCCAAAACCAGCAGAACGGUUCGUUGACGGUGUAUCUUCAGUGUAUAACCACUGUCGGAGCUGUCCCGCGGCCACCAACGCUGGUUCCCAAGGGGGAGAUCUGAAUCCCAAGAACCCUAGCCGCCGUAGUUGAAGCUCGCCUUACCACGGGUCCGAGGAUCUACGCGUCUUCAAUCAAGCUCGCCUUCAAUCAAGCCGGUAAAAAGCGUCUUUCGCGCCGGAGGUUACAUAUCCCAACAAAAAUCAAACUCACAACAAUCGGGAUGAACCCCAAGACCCCGAUGACCAACUAGCAGGGUCCGACAGGGUCACCAGAGUCCCAGAGCUCUCUUAGGGAACCGCCGCACCAAUGGUUCCACCGACACACAGAGAGAGAAGCCAAACGCCUCCGAUAGACUGAGCCACAUCUGUUCUAUCAUGUAGAGCGAAGUCCGAAGGAAAAGGGAUGGUUGGAGACCUCCAUACGAACCUGCACCGGAACCCUGUCGCAAAGAUAAAACCAGAUUUGGGUGAGAAAGGUUGAGCACGUGGAUCUCACUGCCUCUCAAAGGCAAAAUUCCGUUUCAUUAAUGUUAUAUAAGUGUUGGCUUGAGGUUUUGAAAACACCCGUGAUAGUCUCUUUAGAAUUGGGCCAGUGGCAACAAUAACAGGCUAUUUAGAAUUGGGCCAUAGAAUAGAUCAAACGAAAAUCCAAAUUAGUUUAAUGAAUAAACCAAUUCACA